Long non-coding RNA from Helianthus annuus (common sunflower), 1222 nucleotides. RefSeq lists it as uncharacterized. The record is from RefSeq and is a predicted model, not a curated record. NCBI's taxonomy places the organism in Eukaryota, Viridiplantae, Streptophyta, Magnoliopsida, Asterales, Asteraceae. The transcript has 9 exons.
CCCAAUCAAACUUGGUUCUUUUUUCACGCUCUCUUUCUCUGGAGAUUCAAACGUUAUAUGGAAAAAUGGAAAAUUGCAAAAGAAUAUAGAAAGGAAAGGAUGAAUUCAAAAACCCUCAUUAUAACAAGUUCUUUUCCUUUGGCGAUGGUGAAGUGAUGGCCCCAUCGAUGUUUAUGGCUGAUGAAACGAUUUCGACAAAGUCUAUGGUUUUCCAGCGAUCUGAAUUGUGGUUUAGGCGCCAACCAAAUUCCUUAUACAACCCUAAAUCACCGCCUCCUUCUACAUAAUAUCUUUCCCAUUUCCUCUUCAAUACCCUAAGCUCAAACUCGCUAAACUAUCCAGUUUCUAUGGUUUGGUUGAUUGAUUCAGAUUUGCAAUUGUCAUGUAAUAAAUGAUGUAGAGAUAUGGGAUGAUGGUUGGUUGAAUUCAUCUCUUCAUCUUCCGUUACUUCAGUGAACGCUAAUCCCGCAUGCAGACCUUCCUCAUGAAUAGCAGGUAAACAACUUUGGUCUGGUUUCUAUCCAUCUUCAAGUAAUGAACUUGGCUUCAACCUGAUGAGAUUUUCUGUUAAUGGCAGUGAGCAGAACCUAAAGUUCAUUGGAACAACUCUCAUCAUAUACCGAGUCUUAUCGUAUAUUUCUUUUCGGAGCAUUUUAAUAAUGGCCAAGGAUAACUGAAACCACCUAGAGUGCUUGAUGAUUGAUGAAAAUGUUGCUCAAGAAAUCAUAAAUCAAAGAUCACUUCGACCCUAACAUCACGAGGUUUAGAGAGAUUAAUGGCAGGUUUAAUUAGUGUCUUCCAUUGGCUGAAGUGUUUACACUUGAUCAAAGGGAAUUUGAUGCUCCAGUAGUAGAGUAGUAGACAUGGUGACUAAUAAGGUUUUAGGUGAAAAGACAUAAAAAUGGUGUUAAGUGUGGAUGUCCGUUGCCAAAAACCAGGUAUCCAACCAAUUAACCAGCUAACGUGAGUUAUAAUAUUUUUUUAUUAUUGUUCCAUACUUCUUCGAUCUUAUUUUUUGAUAUUCAUUGUGAAGAUGUGGCGUGUGAAUAGUAAAGAAAAUAGUCUAUUACAAGGAGUUAUCACCAUAAAGUAUUAUGUACUUUUCAAGUUUUGUUGGUUUAUUAUAGUGUUUUGGUUUCAUUCAUUGUCUUUUCAAGUUUUUAGGAAUAUAAUUAAUAGUGUUUGUUGGUUUAUUAUAGUGUUUUUUUGUUUUAGGCGUAUA